Molecule: non-coding RNA, 71 nt
Organism: Arvicanthis niloticus (Nile rat)
Lineage: Eukaryota; Metazoa; Chordata; Mammalia; Rodentia; Muridae
Source: the annotation of a RefSeq genome assembly
GCAUGGGCAAUUCAGUGGUAGAAUUCUUGCCUGUCACAUAGGAGGCCUGGGUUCGAUUCCCAGCCCAUGCA